AAGCCUACGGGGGGCAGCAGUGAGGAAUAUUGGUCAAUGGCCGAGAGGCUGAACCAGCCAAGUCGCGUGAGGGAAGACGGCCCUACGGGUUGUAAACCUCUUUUGUCGGGGAGCAAAGCGAGCCACGUGUGGUUCAUUGAGAGUACCCGAAGAAAAAGCAUCGGCUAACUCCGUGCCAGCAGCCGCGGUAAUACGGAGGAUGCGAGCGUUAUCCGGAAUUACUGGGUGUAAAGGGAGCGUAGACGGCGAGGUAAGCCUGAAGUGGAAGCCCGCGGCCCAACCGCGGAACUGCUUUGGGAACUGUU
Molecule: ribosomal RNA, 305 nt
Filed under: uncultured bacterium
Lineage: Bacteria
Description: bacterial SSU rRNA
Rfam family: Bacterial small subunit ribosomal RNA
Source: RNAcentral